This 1741-nucleotide long non-coding RNA is filed under the name Sus scrofa (pig). Its description in RNAcentral is "lncRNA (ENSSSCG00030033489.1)". Lineage: Eukaryota; Metazoa; Chordata; Mammalia; Artiodactyla; Suidae. The record is from RNAcentral.
GCAGAAUGUAGUUUCUCUCCUAUAAAUAAAAAUGUAGAUCGGGUUUGAGAGCAGAAGGAAGACACUGUCCCUGCAUUUUAAUACCUGAAGCCUUAUUUACCAUAACAAAGCUUCAACAGAGUAGAGCUGGAAAGACCUGCAAGAUGAAUUCACCCAAGAUCCUAAUUUUCAAGGUGAAGAUGCUACGCCUGCUCAAGGUCAGCCCCACGCACAAGGCCUCCUGGCCCAGCGAGAUAUCAGCCACACCACAGGGUCAUGUUUCCAGAUGUCCUAUUUUAGGUAAAAGAAAACAAGAACACACCACUUCCCUUUGGUCUUUACGGAUUCCCCAGUGCAUUUCCAUGCGGUAUUAUUUCCGUAGGUCCUUUACAAGGUGGAGAUGUCACGACCCAGGCUUUUCCGUCAGCCAGGAAAGUCAAGUUCAGGUGUGCAAGAUCACCUGUUCAGGAAAUGACGAACUGCACGUAAGGCUCCUCUCCCAGGGCUCACCCUGUACAGAAAAUGUCUGCAAUUUCUGCAGCGGGAGAAGAAGACAAGCGCUGUGUCACGGACACAUCCAACAAGGCAUCCCACCACGCACAUCCCAACAAGGCAAUUCAGCAAGAUUUCUGGGUCCGAAAAAAAAAAGAUGGACAGAAACCUAAAUGAAAGGACGAUCCACGGCCCUGGAAAGAUGACAGGCAUCGGAGGAGCUUGGCGAGAGGUGGAGUUCACGGUACACGGUUCCAGAUUUUCCUUCUUUCGUUACCAGUUUCUAGGAACAUGGAAAAGGAGUGUUUCCAUAUUUUUCAAUCACUGUUGAGAGGGAGUCUUUUAUUACCCAUUCAGUGAAUUUGUUGAGCAUGUAUUUUGUUUUAUGAACUAAUCGGAAACAAGAUGAGCUUAGAUUCUAGUGGAGCGGCAGGUGCUAGUAAAUAAGGAAAAACAAAAGUGAAGGAAAUACAUCAGCCGAUUUGAUUGACACUGACAAGGAGAUUGGAAGGGCUUCUCUCUGGAAUAACAACGAAAGUGAACCUGAAGUGUGAGAAGCAGCCUCGGGGAGCGCUGAGACCAGAACCUUCUAAGUAGAGGGCUCAGAAGGUAAAGACCUCGAGGCAGAAACACUGAGUGAGCCGGAAGAACACCAAGACGCCAGUGUGGCCAGCGCGUGACGAGGAGGCAGCAAGGGUUCAAAACGAAUUUGGAAAGAUGGGCGGGGCUGUGAUCAUGAAGAGACACCUUCAGGACACAGACUUUAUCUCAGAUCUAACGAGAAAGGACUGGAACAGGGCAGGAGGGCUGGUGGAUCAAAGGAGAAGCGAGAUCUGCUUUAGAGGGAGGAUACUUUAUGUUCCCAGGUGGCUGUGUUGAGGUUGGAUUGUGGAGUGGAUGUGGCCAGCCGAGGAACCACGUAGGAGGCUCCCCGUUCAUGUGGGAGACGAGAGGCGCUCAGCACAAGGCCGGUGCAGGGUUUAUGGAGAGACGUCUGUGCCGGGGGACUUACUCUGAAGAUGAGAGAGAGGAGAAACGGGGAUGGCACAGGACAUUUCAGCGUAAGCUAAGAGGACGAGGACUGUGGUUCCAGGUUGAGAGAGGGAACACUGGAGAUGGAGCCGACUGGAGGUGGAAGGCGGGAGUCCAGAGCGCCCUUUCAAACGUGUUAAAGUUGCUUAACCACUGACAAGGCAGGAGACAGACUUAAUAUAGGACUCUGGAGCAUGGGGUGCGUCUAGGGUCAGAAAUAAAAUCUGGGAGUCAAACA